Molecule: long non-coding RNA, 646 nt
Filed under: Gossypium barbadense (sea-island cotton)
Lineage: Eukaryota; Viridiplantae; Streptophyta; Magnoliopsida; Malvales; Malvaceae
Description: long non-coding RNA (GBAR_LNC019386)
Source: RNAcentral
GAAAUUACAGUGAAGCUAAUUGAAGUUUAAUAGAGUAGGUCGAGGCUACAAAUCCCUUCUACCUGAAUUCUUAUUUCCUCGAAGUUUUAGUAGAGAAGAUCGAGGCUACAAAUCUCUUCUCCUUAAAUCUCCGAAGUUGCAGUGGAGUGAAUCAAAGCAACAAUUCCUAUGCCCCUGAAGAUGCAAUGGGAUGAAACGAGGCUACUAGAAGAAAAGAAGUACCAAGAAGUUAAGAUUCAGUAAGACUAAGCAAAAUUGGCCAUUUUGGAGUCUUUGCUCCAUUCUCGUUACACGACAAUGAGCAAAGAGGGGCAGCUGUAAUGGCCAAUUUUUUGGCCCAAGCAAAAAUAAAAUCCACAUAACCAAAAUUCAAGUCCAUUUACAAUGUUAAACAGCCCAAAAAUCAAAACAGGUCCAAUUUCCACAUUGAAAGGCCCAAACCCAAAACUAAAUAACCCAAAUAAUACAAAAACCCUAAAGCCCACCUAGCCCAACACACAAAACAUUUCAGCAACCCUAGGUCCCCCCUUCUGUUUGUUUUGCACCGCAACCAUGAAGCAGCCCCAUACCUCCACUACAGCGGCCCCAUACCCCCACUACAGCAGUCCCAUACCUCCACAGCCCUCGUACGCCACGCCCACACCCC